UACGGAGGGGACUAGCGUUGUUCGGAAUUACUGGGCGUAAAGCGCACGUAGGCGGAUUUGUAAGGCAGGGGUGAAAUCCCGGGGCUCAACCUCGGAACUGCCUUUGAUACUGCAAAUCUCGAGUCCGGAAGAGGUGAGUGGAAUUCCUAGUGUAGAGGUGAAAUUCGUAGAUAUUAGGAAGAACACCAGUGGCGAAGGCGGCUCACUGGUCCGGUACUGACGCUGAGGUGCGAAAGCGUGGGGAGCAAACAGG
This 253-nucleotide ribosomal RNA is filed under the name uncultured bacterium. RNAcentral describes it as "partial 16S ribosomal RNA". It matches the Rfam family "Bacterial small subunit ribosomal RNA", at positions 524 to 776 of the family's 1533-position model. The record is from RNAcentral.